Molecule: ribosomal RNA, 252 nt
Filed under: uncultured Bacteroidales bacterium
Lineage: Bacteria; Pseudomonadati; Bacteroidota; Bacteroidia; Bacteroidales
Description: partial 16S ribosomal RNA
Rfam family: Bacterial small subunit ribosomal RNA
Source: RNAcentral
UACGGAGGAUGCGAGCGUUAUCCGGAUUUAUUGGGUUUAAAGGGUGCGUAGGCGGCGCUUCAGGUCAGCGGUGAAAUACCGGGGCUCAACCCCGGCGAGCCGUUGAAACUGGCGGGCUGGAGUUGGAGAGAAGUACGCGGAAUGCGCGGUGUAGCGGUGAAAUGCUUAGAUAUCGCGCAGAACCCCGAUUGCGAAGGCAGCAUACCGGUGCACAACUGACGCUCAGGCACGAAAGCGUGGGUAUCGAACAGG